RNAcentral lists this ribosomal RNA (508 nucleotides) under uncultured glomeraceous AM fungus. RNAcentral describes it as "SSU rRNA". It matches the Rfam family "Eukaryotic small subunit ribosomal RNA", at positions 569 to 1078 of the family's 1831-position model. The record is from RNAcentral. Lineage: Eukaryota; Fungi; Glomeromycota; Glomeromycetes; Glomerales; Glomeraceae.
AGCAGCCGCGGUAAUUCCAGCUCCAAUAGCGUAUGUUAAAGUUGUUGCAGUUAAAAAGCUCGUAGUUGAAUUUCGGGGUUAGUAGAUUGGUCAUGCCUCUGGUAUGUACUGGUCUCACUGAUUCCUCCUUCCUGAUGAACCUUAAUGCCAUUAAUUUGGUGUUUUGGGGAAUUUGGACUGUUACUUUGAAAAAAUUAGAGUGUUUAAAGCAAGCUAACGCUUGAAUACAUUAGCAUGGAAUAAUGAAAUAGGACGUUCGAUCCUAUUUUGUUGGUUUCUAGGAUUGACGUAAUGAUUAAUAGGGAUAGUUGGGGGCAUUAGUAUUCAAUUGUCAGAGGUGAAAUUCUUGGAUUUAUUGAAGACUAACUACUGCGAAAGCAUUUGCCAAGGAUGUUUUCAUUAAUCAAGAACGAAAGUUAGGGGAUCGAAGACGAUCAGAUACCGUCGUAGUCUUAACCAUAAACUAUGCCGACUAGGGAUCGGAUGAUGUUAAUUUUUUAAUGACUCA